Schistosoma curassoni is the source of this 45-nucleotide non-coding RNA. The record is from Rfam. Lineage: Eukaryota; Metazoa; Platyhelminthes; Trematoda; Strigeidida; Schistosomatidae.
AUCCAGCUGACUAAUCCUAAAUCGGACGAAACGCGCGUCCUGUAU